AGUGAACGCUGGCGGUAGGCCUAACACAUGCAAGUCGAACGGCAGCACAGUAAGAGCUUGCUCUUACGGGUGGCGAGUGGCGGACGGGUGAGGAAUACAUCGGAAUCUACUUUUUCGUGGGGGAUAACGUAGGGAAACUUACGCUAAUACCGCAUACGACCUACGGGUGAAAGCAGGGGAUCUUCGGACCUUGCGCGAUUGAAUGAGCCGAUGUCGGAUUAGCUAGUUGGCGGGGUAAAGGCCCACCAAGGCGACGAUCCGUAGCUGGUCUGAGAGGAUGAUCAGCCAAACUGGAACUGACACAAGGUCCAGACUCCUACGGGAGGCAGCAGUGGGGAAUAUUGGACAAUGGGCGGAAGCCUGAUCCAGCCAUACCGCGUGGGUGAAGAAGGCCUUCGGGUUGUAAAGCCCUUUUGUUGGGAAAGAAAAGCAGCAGGUUAAUACCCCGCUGUUCUGACGGUACCCAAAGAAUAAGCACCGGCUAACUUCGUG
This 492-nucleotide ribosomal RNA is filed under the name uncultured bacterium. RNAcentral's name for it is "partial 16S ribosomal RNA". It matches the Rfam family "Bacterial small subunit ribosomal RNA", at positions 29 to 507 of the family's 1533-position model. The record is from RNAcentral.